AGCGACGCUGCGUGAAGGAUGACGGCCUGCGGGUUGUAAACUUCUUUUCUCGAAGAAGAAGCUCUGACGGUAUUCGAGGAAUAAGCAUCGGCUAACUCCGUGCCAGCAGCCGCGGUAAU
RNAcentral lists this ribosomal RNA (119 nucleotides) under uncultured eukaryote. RNAcentral describes it as "partial 16S ribosomal RNA". It matches the Rfam family "Bacterial small subunit ribosomal RNA", at positions 390 to 524 of the family's 1533-position model. The record is from RNAcentral.